UGCCUACGGGGCGCAGCAGUGGGGGAUAUUGAACAAUGGGGGGAACCCUGAUGCAGCGACGCCGCGUGGGCGAUGGAGUGCUUCGGCAUGUAAAGCCCUAUCAGCAGGGAAGAAAAUGACGGUACCUGACUAAGAAGCCCCGGCUAGAUACGUGCCAGCAGCCGCGGUAAUACGUAUGGGGCAAGCGUUAUCCGGAUUUACUGGGGGUAAAGGGAGCGAAGGGGGCCUGGCAAGCC
This 236-nucleotide ribosomal RNA is filed under the name uncultured bacterium. RNAcentral describes it as "partial 16S ribosomal RNA". It matches the Rfam family "Bacterial small subunit ribosomal RNA", at positions 335 to 589 of the family's 1533-position model. The record is from RNAcentral.